Gorilla gorilla gorilla (western lowland gorilla) is the source of this 363-nucleotide long non-coding RNA. RefSeq lists it as uncharacterized. The record is from RefSeq and is a predicted model, not a curated record. The transcript has 3 exons. Lineage: Eukaryota; Metazoa; Chordata; Mammalia; Primates; Hominidae.
CUGCCUCGAAGCGCACAGAUUCUCUUCUCAGCGCCCCAUGGCUGCUGGGGGGUGGGGAAGGGGUGGCAUCAGCAAUUCAAGAUUGUCUUUCCUACCCUCUUCCAUGCCUCUUUCAGUGAUAGGAAGUUAAAGCCAGCCUUGGAGAGAAAACACAGGGAACACUGCUCUAGCCUUUCCCAAUCACAGGCAACUUCAUGUGUGUCAUUAUAACCAAGACCACCAAAGUUACUUUCCUCAAGAACAAUAAUGUAGCUCAACCUGAGCUAUUUCCAUAUUAACGAGAUGUCAAGAUGUCAGUGAAGGAGACACACGGGCCUCAGCCUCUCUCCCCCUGUCGACAGCAAGAAAGUUCGGUAUUCGGAU